This is a long non-coding RNA of Dreissena polymorpha, 1433 nucleotides long. RefSeq lists it as uncharacterized. The transcript is spliced from 3 exons. Lineage: Eukaryota; Metazoa; Mollusca; Bivalvia; Myida; Dreissenidae. The record is from RefSeq and is a predicted model, not a curated record.
AGAGCGAAGCACGUUUGAAAACCACCAAAUAUGCCGUCUUUUCUGAUAUAUUUGAUAUUUGCCGCGUGCCUAAGUGAAGAUGGAGUUUCAUUUAUGCUGGAUGGACAGCCAGGAAGCAAUCAAGAAUAUACACAUGAGUUGCUUAAACUAGGGAACGAAGUAUCAAUUCUGAAGGACAUGCUGGACAAUUUACAUCAAUCAUGCCAUUCGUGUUCCAGUUCAAACGUUUUACCGACGCCUGCCUUCAUGGUCAAUUUAGUCAGACAACAAAGGAUGUACAUUGGACGCCUCAAUUAUUUUUGACCAGACCAUUCCAGAUAUCAGAGCGUCGAACGAUGUCAGGCAUGGGACUUUCCGGGCGCCUUUGAAUGGGACAUACACGUUCAGUUUAACCCUGAGUACACAGGCUACAUUCCAUGCGAGGAUCGUGCUAAAUUCCGUUGCCAAUAAAAUCGGAUACAUUUAUGCGAACACCACGGCUGACUUUAGUCAAAGAAGUACAAUAAUCGUCACCAAACUGGCUGCUGGCGAUGAUGUCUGGGUUACUAGCCUAAGACUAGGAACGAGCGAUAUUGAAGGUGGACAUAACGGGCAUCUGCAGUCGUAUUUCUCUGGGUUUAUUGUGAACUAAAACUAUCAGCAUUUAGUAUUUUGUUAGUUUUCGGAAAAUUGUUUUAAUCUCUCAACAAGUCAGAACUGAACCCGUUCGUUUUAAUUUCAGAAAUUUCUUGCGUUAUAAUUUUUAAUGCCUAUCAACAAUUCAACAAGUAUGUGUGAUGUUUUCUGUUACCGUAUAAGCUGCGUCAUAAUUUGUGUACACUGAUUACAAAGUGGAGUUCGUAUUUCAAUCCGCAAUCAACAGUAUAACCUCUUGAAGUUUAUAACAAUAAACAUACUAAUAGAAACGUGGUGGUAAAUGGUACACAUGUAAACAAGUACAGCGGACCUUGGAAUUUAAUCUUUAUCUCCGUUUCUGCAGUAAUAUCCUUUUUUUACGAAAUAUGUUCCAAAUCCAUAUACCAUUAUAAUAUUAUUAGUUUCAUAACAAUGGGAUGCAGCAUGACUGGAACAAAACAAAAAAAUUAUGUAUUUAUGUUUUUUUAUAAAUAUUAUUGAAACUGUUUUUAAAAUGAAAUAUUCUGUUUUGGACUACAUUAUAUUGCUUACUUUUAUAUUUUAAAUAGACGGGCAUCCGUUAUUGCAAAAAUGUUAUAUACUUGUCAAUAUUAAUGUUUAGUUGCUAAAUUGACUUUUUAUUAUGACACUAUUGCACAUUUACAUUGGAGAAGCGGACAUGUUAUUUUAAAGUGAUGUCUGAUAACCCUUUCGAUAACGCUUUUAAUUUCCACCCAUCAAUAACAUUGCUUAAUUCCGCCCACAUUUGAGUUCAUUGUGCUUGUUUGAAGCGUUCCACGUACUUAGUCCCGCCAACU